UAUAACGUGUCAAUAAUCAAUAGGUGUGAACUGUUGGCUGAUAGUUGCUUCUGGAUGAGUCAAGUUUCUUCUUAAAAAUAGACUAUUUCUAAGAAUUUUUUUAACCCUCUUGUCCGUUACAGGCCUCACCUCACUGGCUAUGAGAAUUGAGAAAAGUCAGGAAGGGAGGUACAGGCAAAUAAAAUAAUCUUGGCCGUUGGAUGUUACUUGACCAUGUAAAAAGCCUUUGGGUUCCACCAAAAUUAGUUGUAAAUUGAAUAAAGCAAACCGCAGCCUUAGCCUCUUAUCACCAUUAAAUUAAACUUUCCUACUUUUGCCUCCUUUUUUUUUUAAAUUUUUUUAUAAAAGCAUUUGAUUUAUUUAUAUAUAUUGUUAAAAUUAUUUAUUUAUUUUUUGAGUAUACAUGUUAGUUUCUUCACCUGUCGCAUCAUUUAAUUGUUUCUUGUUAAAUCUCAUCUUUAGUUCAUUUCCCAUUUGUGGUGUUGCUUUCAAUUUCUUGAAAUUUCCAAUAACGUAGAGAAGCUCCAGCAUAUUUUAGUUAACCUGAAUUCAUCACUCAUCAAUGCUGACCAUUUUGAAACUAAUGCUGACGGGCGUUAAAAUUGAAAGUUGCUGCAAAGAACAUGUAAUGCAGGAUCCAAUUUAUGUUUUUAAUACAGAAGGUUGGAGUAGGAAAUGGCCAUAUAAUAAAUGUAGGUCAUUGUGUUGUGAUUUCGACUAAAAAUGUUAGUCAAAUUGGAUAUGCGUCGCUGAGUUUUUAAAUUUUCGGCCUUAAAAAAUUAUUGAAACGAACAAGUAGGAUGACACUGUCGGUUGAAACUCUAUAUCGGACCUUCCUCAUAAUCAAAUUGGGACUGCGUUACUGAUCUGUGGUCGUAAUUUUUCGACAUAUUAAAAAAAUCAUUGAAAUGGAUAAGUGGAAUGACACGGUCGGUUGAAACUCUUUAUAUUUAAUAUGAGGGUUAAAUAAUCUGUUGCACAAUUUUGCACUGAAAAGUUUAGUUAUUACUUACAAUAAGUGUAAAUCCCACAUACAAUGUUUGAAUGGAAGCAGUCCGUGUAUCUGUGAUUCAUCUCAUUGGCUUUCUUGUGUGGCCUGCAUCCCCUCGAUUAUAUAUUAUUAAGAAAUCUGCAACUAUAGGUGAAUUUUUUUUUUUCUUUUUAUGUGAGAACAAUAUUAAAUUUCUUGAGAGUACGAAUUCUCUAAUUCUAAUGGGUUGGUGGUGGCGGCCCUACAUUUCUGAGAAGCUAAUGUGGGACAGGUAGGGCUCUCCUCCCUAAAUAAAUGGUUCGAUAUUUCCUUUGAAGGCAUGAUGCCACUGCUUUGGGUUGUUCACUAGGUUAUAUAUAUAUAUAUAUCGUACACAAAUAAUCAAAAAAGAAAAUAAAGGAGCGUGUAUGUAGAAUUUUGGAGAAGAGAGACGGGCGGUGGAAUUUGAGUUGUUUGUUUCUUAGGAGAAAACUGCAAGUAAAAUAAUUGGAGGGGACCAGGCUUAGACUCAGGCAGGCUCAGGCAUGGGUCCUCCUCCUCAGCCAGUCAGCCUCAACGUGAAGUUGAUGAAACAUAAGCCUCCGUUGUGAAAUUGUGAUGCAUGCAGGCAACGCACGUUGUGCACGUACGCUGUUAAAUACGUGUGGUCCAGUUGAUUGUGAUCGUGACAUCUAUCAAUCAUCUAUUAUUGUAUAAAGAAAGAGAUUAAAGCAAAAUUCCAUGAACACGCUUAUAACUGAGCAUCCAACUCAAAACGUGCUAGCUAGGCCUAAGCCUAGGCGUAGGCGUGUUCCCUUUAAUCUCCUCUUUUUUUUUUUUCCAUUCCAGGU
RNAcentral lists this long non-coding RNA (1821 nucleotides) under Citrus sinensis (sweet orange). RNAcentral describes it as "long non-coding RNA (CSIN_LNC001427)". The record is from RNAcentral. Lineage: Eukaryota; Viridiplantae; Streptophyta; Magnoliopsida; Sapindales; Rutaceae.